CAAGUCGAACGAUGAGGCCCAGCUUGCUGGGUGGAUUAGUGGCGAACGGGUGAGUAACACGUGAGUAGCCUGCCCUUGAGUUCGGGAUAACUCCGGGAAACCGGGGCUAAUACCGGAUAUGAGCCGUCCUCGCAUGGGGGUGGUUGGAAAGUUUUUCGGUCAGGGAUGGGCUCGCGGACUAUCUUGUUGUUGGUGGGGUGAUGGCCUACCAAGGCGACGACGGGUAGCCGGCCUGAGAGGGCGACCGGCCACACUGGGACUGAAACACGGCCCAUACUCCUACGGGAGGCAGCAGUGGGGAAUAUUGCACAAUGGGCGAAAGCCUGAUGCAACGACGCCGCGUGAGGGAUGAAGGCCUUCUGGUUGUAAACCUCUUUCAGCAGGGAAGAAGCGCAAGUGACGGUACCUGCAGAAGAAGCGCCGGCUAACUACGUGCCAGCAGCCGCGGUAAUACGUACGGCGCAAGCGUUGUCCGGAAUUAUUGGGCGUAAAGAGCUCGUAGGCGGUUUGUCGCGUCUGGUGUGAAAACUCGAGGCUCAACUUCUAGCUUGCAUCGGGUACGGGCAGACUAGAGUGCGGUAGGGGAGACUGGAAUUCCUGGUGUAGCGGUGGAAUGCGCAGAUAUCAGGAGGAACACCGAUGGCGAAGGCAGGUCUCUGGGCCGCAACUGACGCUGAGGAGCGAAAGCAUGGGGAGCGAACAGGAUUAGAUACCCUGGUAGUCCAUGCCGUAAACGUUGGGCACUAUGUGUGGGGCUCACUCCACGAGUUCCGUGCCGCAUCAAACGCAUUAUGUGCCCCGCCUGGAGAGUACCGCCGCAAGGCUAACACUCAAAGGAAGUGACGGGCGCCCCGCACAAGCGGCAGAGCAUGCGUAAUUAAUUCGAUGCAACGCGAAGACUCUUUACCGAUGUUUGACAUGCACGACAAGCCACCAGAGAUGGUGGUCUCUUUGGACACUCGUGCACAGGUGCAGCAUGGCUCGUCCGUCAGCUUCGUGUCGUGAAGAUGUUGGGAUGACUCCCGCAACGCAGCGCACCCGUCGUCCUAUGUCGCCAGCGGGAUCUGGCGGGGCACUCAUGGCAUACUGCCGGGCUCCAACCUCGGAAGAAUGGUGGGGGAUAGACUCACAU
Molecule: ribosomal RNA, 1132 nt
Filed under: Cellulosimicrobium funkei
Lineage: Bacteria; Bacillati; Actinomycetota; Actinomycetes; Micrococcales; Promicromonosporaceae
Description: bacterial SSU rRNA
Rfam family: Bacterial small subunit ribosomal RNA
Source: RNAcentral